Molecule: ribosomal RNA, 576 nt
Filed under: Marinomonas mangrovi
Lineage: Bacteria; Pseudomonadati; Pseudomonadota; Gammaproteobacteria; Oceanospirillales; Oceanospirillaceae
Description: bacterial SSU rRNA
Rfam family: Bacterial small subunit ribosomal RNA
Source: RNAcentral
GGUACAUUUCUAGCUUGCUAGAAAUGACGAGCGGCGGACGGGUGAGUAACGCGUAGGAAUCUGCCUAGUAGAGGGGGACAACAUGUGGAAACGCAUGCUAAUACCGCAUACGCCCUUAGGGGGAAAGGAGGGGAUCUUAGGACCUUCCGCUAUUAGAUGAGCCUGCGUAAGAUUAGCUAGUUGGUGGGGUAAAGGCCUACCAAGGCGACGAUCUUUAACUGGUCUGACAGGAUGACCAGUCACACUGGGACUGAAACACGGCCCAGACUCCUACGGGAGGCAGCAGUGGGGAAUAUUGGACAAUGGGCGAAAGCCUGAUCCAGCCAUGCCGCGAGGGUGAAGAAGGCCUUAGGGUUGUAAAGCACUUUCAGUGGGGAGGAAGGGUGCGUUGUUAAUACCAACGUACUUUGACGUUACCCACAGAAGAAGCACCGGCUAACUCUGUGCCAGCAGCCGCGGAAAUACAGAGGGUGCAAGCGUUAAUCGGAAUUACUGGGCGUAAAGCGCGCGUAGGUGGUUUGUUAAGUCGGAUGUGAAAUCCCAGGGCUCAACCUUGGAAUGGCACCCGAUACUGGC